CCCAGGAGAGAAAAGGAGAAAGAAAAGGAGCCAUUACCUUGAAAAUCCCCCCAUUGGGGUUCCUGUAGCAAGGGAUGAUGGGGGCAUCCCUUGAACAUCUUCCCUAUUCUGCCUGGCAGGAAUAGGUGCCUGGUGUAUGGUCCCAGAGAAAGGGAGCCAUUACCUUGAAAAUCCCCCCAAUGGAGUUCCUGUAGCAAGGGAUGAUGGGGGCAUCCCUUGAACAUCUUCCCUAUUCUGCCUGACAGUAAUAGGUGCCUGGCGUAUGGUCCCCAGGAGAGAAAAGGACAAAGACAGUGAGAAAGAGAAAGACAGUGAGGAAUUUUCCGCCAGUCUGGGGGACAUUCUACCCAAUUGCAUCCUGGAGCCAUUCUCCCAAGAAGGGGUUCCCAUACUCCACCAAAGGUUAGAGUUUGGUACUUCCCUUGAACUGGAGUCCCGAGUGGGACUUUCCUCGCAGUUCAGAGCGUGGUCAGGUGCCAGAGGGAGGGAUCCCAAUCCAGCCUUAGGAAAAGAAACCUUCCACGGGAGUCUUGGAGAUUGGCGGCCGUCCUAAUGACUUAAGUGGCCGACCCGCGCCCACGUAAAAUUUGUCUAUUAGAGAUAGAGUCAGGAAGGAAUGGAUUAAUUCAUUCUCCAUCACCCUGAGGCUUAAGGUACUGAAUCUCUUCAAGCUGAAUGCCACAAUUUGCCCCAUAGAGUAGCCAUGGGCAGCAAACGUGGAUUCAUACAACCAUCCAAGAAAGUUCCCGAUGGAGCAGUGAAUCUAGAUCCAUCCUUGAAAAAGAGAAAGGCAUAAGGAAGAAAAGGGCACUUACCAGAACUCGAGCUCACAAGCCGAUGAAGCAAGUCCCCGUACGGGC
RNAcentral lists this long non-coding RNA (860 nucleotides) under Equus caballus (horse). RNAcentral's name for it is "lncRNA (ENSECAG00000048064.1)". The stretch from base 473 to 560 matches the Rfam family "mir-9014 microRNA precursor family". The record is from RNAcentral. Lineage: Eukaryota; Metazoa; Chordata; Mammalia; Perissodactyla; Equidae.